Non-coding RNA from Salmo salar (Atlantic salmon), 54 nucleotides. The record is from Rfam. NCBI's taxonomy places the organism in Eukaryota, Metazoa, Chordata, Actinopteri, Salmoniformes, Salmonidae.
AAUGAAAUGUACUGUAAAUCGCUCUGGAUAAGAGCGUCUACUAAAUGACUAAAA